AAGCAAUAGCUUCUAAAACGAUUGUGGGCUUUCCACUUCCACGGAAAUAUUGUCAUUUCCAAGCGGUAGGACAAUUCUUUCAUUCCUAAUACAUACAAUCAAUGCUUCCUAUCGUACCUGGAAAUCUCCGCAUCUCUCCAAUAUCUAGUAGUCGUUGAAGAUCCUCCACAGUAAGCCUUCUUAGAUAAUCUUCUCCAAAUAAAGAUAUAACUCCGUCAACAAAAUUUUCCAAAAUAAACUCGCCGUGGUUUCACCCAUCC
RNAcentral lists this long non-coding RNA (260 nucleotides) under Brassica rapa (field mustard). Its description in RNAcentral is "long non-coding RNA (BRAP_LNC001394)". Lineage: Eukaryota; Viridiplantae; Streptophyta; Magnoliopsida; Brassicales; Brassicaceae. The record is from RNAcentral.